This 761-nucleotide long non-coding RNA is filed under the name Mytilus galloprovincialis (Mediterranean mussel). The record is from RNAcentral. Lineage: Eukaryota; Metazoa; Mollusca; Bivalvia; Mytilida; Mytilidae.
UUUUCAAUUUUAUUGUUUUCUAAUAGCGCAAGCAAAUUCCAGCAGAUUAUUGGAGCAUCAAUGUUAAAAUAAAUAUCUAGGAAAUGACAAUUAACAAAAAAAACUGUUGAAGGGGAGAUGGGGGUUGUGAGAACAAACCUAUCUGCACAAUUGCAAUGUAUAAUUAAGAUUGGACACAAAUUAAACACUCUAGUCGUGCAGCGUACAAAUACAAAUAGAAUGACCACCAACUUGAACAGGGAAAUAAAAAAAGCAUACGAUAUAAAAAGAAGUGUCGGAACGUUUGCUCUACAUGAACUUCUGUAACAAAAAAAUAGAGCUACAUAUGUCAGUUGGAUACGGCUAAACCCCUUUAGUCUUUACCUUUGUACUAUAAAGUUUUAAUUGAAAAGUUUUAAUUCAUACUACACUUAAUUUAUAUAAAGAAUACGAGCAUAAAAAUGUAACAACUUUGAAUAAUAAUGUAUACACAUCUACCGUUGGAAACGCUAAUGAAAACUUCAUUAUUGAUUUAAUAAAACAUCAAAACUAAUGCAUCGAAUUCGUCGUCAUUUCGCUAUAAAGGCGACUAGUGGCGUACUUUGCUUGUAAAAGCACUAGUGUUUCAGGUUCAAGUGAACAAGCAUCUAUGCAUUUUCCUGAAAAGAAAAAAUCUUAAUGAACAAGAAUUAUUAAAAAAAAAGAUAUUUUCUACCAAUGAACACAAAAGUAGAAUAUUGAAAACAACACGUUUAAUAUUUUCAUUGCGUCCGAAGCGCUUU